GAACGUGUAACGGAGACUGAGAGGAUGCAGACACGUCUCUGGAAGGGGUCUGAUGAUGCAGCUGCAAAAUCUCAGAGUGGCCCGAAGGGGCUGGCUGACAUUCCUCAGUGCUGAAGGGGCUGCCUUGGCCCGGAGACACUCUUCCAGUACUGAGCCGGAGCUUUGGAAACCGUUGCCAGGUCGUCCAGCCCUCUCUGGCUGUCUCUAGCACCAUCCCACCUACUCUUGCAUAACUUUUUAAACUUCAAAUGCUGAGACAACCCGACAGGUCGUUUGCCUCUCUCCCUGCUCCCCUAUAUAUAUGUUCCCGAAAUCUAACAUGUGGGACACAGCUUGCCCGCCUAGAAAUGCAUUAUGCCCCUUUUGUGCCGCACUUGGCUUAUAGACUAUGCAUGAUUACCCGCAAAGAUAAACUCCACCGAGUGCAAUUGGACUUUCUUCCAAGAAGUGCGUUGUGCUGCAGCCUAGCUAACGGAGGUGUUAAGCUUUGUAAUGGAGAUUUGCAAAGGUGAACGUUACCGUGGAAGCCAGAAUCCAAACCGAAAUGAGGAAAUGUACUGAGAGGCGCAAUGCUAAAGAUCCUGGUGAAAGAUACAGAUGCUGUCAGAAUAUGAUCAAGCUCUUUCUUCCACAAACAUGAAGUCUUAAAUGAAAGCUAAGAUUUUCAGAAAAGUGGGGCCCUAGGAAGAAUCUAUAGCUCCGUUUAGGUGCUCACUAGUCCUUUAAGGCGCAGUGAUCUUGGAACCUACAAAGCCGGCUGUAGAGCACCUCCUUCUUCGGUUCCUGAAUCGGCCGCAGCAAAGGGAUUGAUGACAUUGAGAGAUAGAGAAGACAAGCCACAGCAGCACAGGACAAGGGAAAAGAGGAGCAGAUCCUUCCCGAGGCAACGCAAGCAGCGGACAAGAAGGAGCUAAAGAGGAAGGUGCUCUACAGCCGGCUUUGUAGGCUUCGAUAUCACUACAACUUAAAGGGCCAGUAAGCACCUAAACGGAGCUAUACAUUCUUCUGGGGGCCCCCUGCGCAGGCGCACAAGACCCAGUUGUGAAGGACCAUGGAUCCCUACAGAGAUACCCAAGUUGUAUGAACUCUUAAUAAAUGUAUUUAUUUCAU
Molecule: long non-coding RNA, 1110 nt
Organism: Hemicordylus capensis (graceful crag lizard)
Lineage: Eukaryota; Metazoa; Chordata; Lepidosauria; Squamata; Cordylidae
Exons: 4
Source: RefSeq, a predicted model, not a curated record